AUGGGGAGGAUCAAACUACAGCUCCUCAGUCUGUUAGUGUUUCUGCUGUGGACCACAAGUCUGACUGAAGGCAGCGAUGUGACCCAGACUGACCUGCUGUGGGAAAAACAGGGAGACAAUGCAACCAUGAGCUGCACACACACAAAGGGUGCUCAAUACUACCAGAUGUACUGGUACCGACAGCUGCCAGGAGAAACUAUGGAGCUAAUCGUGUACACCACAACAGGGAUCAAGAAUCAUGACUUUGGAGAAUCCAGUAAGGAGAAGUUCUCAGCCACAAAGCCUGACGCUGAGAGUGGGACGUUCACAGUGAAGGAUCUGCAGCCCGGAGAUAAAGGCCUGUACUUCUGUGCUGUGAGUGAACACAGUGACACACACUCAGGAGGAGGCUGA
Non-coding RNA from Eleginops maclovinus (Patagonian blennie), 393 nucleotides. NCBI's taxonomy places the organism in Eukaryota, Metazoa, Chordata, Actinopteri, Perciformes, Eleginopidae. The record is from the annotation of a RefSeq genome assembly.